AGCAGCCGCGGUAAUUCCAGCUCCAAUAGCGUAUAUUAAAGUUGUUGCAGUUAAAAAGCUCGUAGUUGAAUUUCGGGGUUAGUAGGUUGGUCAUGCCUCUGGUAUGUACUGGUCUCACUGAUUCCUCCUUCCUGAUGAACCUUAAUGCCAUUAAUUUGGUGUUUUGGGGAAUUUGGACUGUUACUUUGAAAAAAUUAGAGUGUUUAAAGCAAGCUAACGCUUGAAUACAUUAGCAUGGAAUAAUGAAAUAGGACGUUCGAUCCUAUUUUGUUGGUUUCUAGGAUUGACGUAAUGAUUAAUAGGGAUAGUUGGGGGCAUUAGUAUUCAAUUGUCAGAGGUGAAAUUCUUGGAUUUAUUGAAGACUAACUACUGCGAAAGCAUUUGCCAAGGAUGUUUUCAUUAAUCAAGAACGAAAGUUAGGGGAUCGAAGACGAUCAGAUACCGUCGUAGUCUUAACCAUAAACUAUGCCGACUAGGGAUCGGAUGAUGUUAAUUUUUUAAUGUACUCAUUCGGCGCCUU
Molecule: non-coding RNA, 520 nt
Filed under: uncultured Glomus
Lineage: Eukaryota; Fungi; Glomeromycota; Glomeromycetes; Glomerales; Glomeraceae
Also listed under: 1 other name
Description: SSU rRNA
Rfam family: Eukaryotic small subunit ribosomal RNA
Source: RNAcentral